UUUUUAGUAGAGACAACCAUUUUUCUCAUGAACAGCCUUCAUCUUUGUGUUGGCAGUCACCUGCAUCUUGCAGAUUCUUUAUGUUGAGUAUGGAUGCAGAAGAUAUUUGCAACUAUAAUGUAUUUUCCCACUUGGUCACUUUUGGUUCCAAUUUGGCAGGGCAGUGGCUCAAGUAAUUUGCUCAUUGAUUCACAUCUCUCCUUAUCUAGCAGACAAUCUAAUGCUUAGGUUGGCUCUAGCAGAUGUACAGGCCAUUUAAAUAAACAGCAGGAGAAUUUCUUCAGCCAUCUUUUUGUGAACACUGCUGUCAACGAAUACAAAUACUGUGAGGUUUUAUUUUAUCAUUAUUAUUUUUUUAUUCUGAUGCUUUAUUUAUUGUCUUAUUAAAAUAUUUGCCAGUUUGGUAGAGUCAGUGUAACAUGGGACUGUUUUACAACUUACACUUUUGUAAUGGAGAAAAGCCUAGAACUUCUCAAAGGGAUGUGUAUAACCUUCAGCAAGGUUUUGAAAUCAAUGGUGAUGCCUUGUGAAUGUAUCUUACUACAGUUAAGGCUCUUGGGAUGUUGUACAGAGCUGGUGAUGGCCAUCUGUGCACACGUAGAAUGUGCAUGCAUUAAAUACUGUUUUUUACUGGUUAAUAUCUAGAGCUAAGCCUAGAAUUAGGUACUGCUCUUGGCUCGUACUUUUAGUGUGAUCCUUUGUUGAGCUCCAAACCUGUUGGAAAUGACUUAUAUUCUAAUUUCCUGGAGAAGAUACCCAAGCCAGAGUGUAUGGUGUUCCUGAAGUUACGUUAAACAGCUGAAGUCUGAUCAAAAUUUUUCAAACUAGGUGAUCAGCAUAUCUUUACUUCUGAACCAGUCAUGGGCCAAAGGAAUCUCUUACACAUCUGAUGUUGAGAAGUCCUUAGACAAGGUGAGCAUACUUUGGAAGAGAAGGCCUCUUAGUCUUUUAUUAUGCUGUCUCCAGAUAUGAAAAUCUUCAGUUGGAGUUGAUGACAUCAGUUCGAUGGUUCCUUGUUAAAUAAUCCAGUUUCUAUGUAUAAAUGCUUGGAAAAAGAGUAUCUGGAAUUUAUCAGUUUUCAAAUAGAUAGAUGCCUGUAUGUAUACUAUGUAGGUCUGUGACAAAAUAUAUUAGAAUUUGGUACUAAACUGUAUUACCUUAUAGACCUGUAGCUAUCAUUUGUGUUCAAACACUUUUGAGUUAUGCUUCAGAUAGAAGAGUAAUAUUACCUUUGAAACAGCAGCCUGACUGGACUAGCAUAUGGACAUUUUCCCCUUACUCUGUUAGAUUCUAUAGGAAUGUGGUUAGCUAUGUUCAAAAUGUAAUUUCACAAUAAAUUGUCUUCACCUAAAUGAAA
This is a long non-coding RNA of Harpia harpyja (harpy eagle), 1357 nucleotides long. RefSeq lists it as uncharacterized. NCBI's taxonomy places the organism in Eukaryota, Metazoa, Chordata, Aves, Accipitriformes, Accipitridae. The transcript is spliced from 2 exons. The record is from RefSeq and is a predicted model, not a curated record.